Molecule: long non-coding RNA, 409 nt
Filed under: Nicotiana benthamiana
Lineage: Eukaryota; Viridiplantae; Streptophyta; Magnoliopsida; Solanales; Solanaceae
Description: long non-coding RNA (NBEN_LNC035292)
Source: RNAcentral
GUGGCUCUGGUGCUACUACUGCUGGUGGAGGUGAUGACUCAUCAAAGAACAAGUCUAAAGGUUGUUGGUCUGCCUUUCGCUUGUCAACAUCAGCUCGAAGAACCUUCAUCUCUUCCUUGGAUGCCCUAGAAUUCCUCAUCUUCUUAUGUUCUCUAGCAAUCUCCUUUAUAGCUUUGCCCUGUGCAUAAACUGCCUUUGUCAAGGCAUCCUGAGUCGCUUAAAUCUUCUCCUGGUUGACCAAGAGCAUCUUAAUGUCUCUGCAAUGGACUGAGGAGUCUGGAGAGUGGCUGGAGCAGACCGAGCCACAACUGUGGUGGCCAAAGUGGACAACUUGGAUGUCGAGACUGACAUCCAGUUGUUCAAACUGGCUAAAGUCUUUGGUAAUUGAUGGGCCAUCAUUUAGGGUUGG